UACGGAGGGGGCUAGCGUUGUUCGGAAUUACUGGGCGUAAAGCGCACGUAGGCGGGUUCAUAAGUCAGGGGUGAAAUCCCGAGGCUCAACCUCGGAACUGCCUUUGAUACUGUGGAUCUUGAGUCCGGAAGAGGUGAGUGGAACUGCGAGUGUAGAGGUGAAAUUCGUAGAUAUUCGCAAGAACACCGGUGGCGAAGGCGGCUCACUGGUCCGGAACUGACGCUGAGGCACGACAGCGUGGGGAGCAAACAGG
This 253-nucleotide ribosomal RNA is filed under the name uncultured bacterium. Its description in RNAcentral is "partial 16S ribosomal RNA". It matches the Rfam family "Bacterial small subunit ribosomal RNA", at positions 524 to 776 of the family's 1533-position model. The record is from RNAcentral.